This 480-nucleotide ribosomal RNA is filed under the name uncultured bacterium. RNAcentral describes it as "partial 16S ribosomal RNA". It matches the Rfam family "Bacterial small subunit ribosomal RNA", at positions 28 to 507 of the family's 1533-position model. The record is from RNAcentral.
GAUGAACGCUAGCGGCAGGCCUAACACAUGCAAGUCGAGGGGUAGAAGGAGCUUGCUCCUUUGAGACCGGCGCACGGGUGCGUAACGCGUAUGCAAUCUACCUUGUACAGGGGAAUAGCCCAGAGAAAUUUGGAUUAAUGCCCCAUAGUAUAUAACCUUCGCAUGUUGGUUAUAUUAAAGUUCCAACGGUACAAGAUGAGCAUGCGUCCCAUUAGUUAGUUGGUAAGGUAACGGCUUACCAAGACGAUGAUGGGUAGGGGUCCUGAGAGGGAGAUCCCCCACACUGGUACUGAGACCCGGACCAGACGCCUACGGGAGGCAGCAGUGAGGAAUAUUGGUCAAUGGUCGCAAGACUGAACCAGCCAUGCCGCGUGCAGGAAGACGGUCCUAUGGAUUGUAAACUGCUUUUAUACAGGAAGAAACCCUCCCACGUGUGGGAGCUUGACGGUACUGUAGGAAUAAGGAUCGGCUAACUCCGUG